AGAGUUUGAUCCUGGCUCAGGAUGAACGCUAGCGGCAGGCCUAAUACAUGCAAGUCGAGCGGCAAGUCGAGGAGUAAUCUGAGACCUAGAGCGGCGUACGGGUGCGUAACGCGUAUGCAACCUACCUCAUACAGGGGGAUAGCCCGGAGAAAUCUGGAUUAAUACCCCAUAGCACAGCACAAGGGCAUCUGCGAGCUGUUAAAGAUUCAUCGGUAUGAGAUGGGCAUGCGUCUGAUUAGCUAGUUGGCGGUGUAACGGACCACCAAGGCGACGAUCAGUAGGGGUUCUGAGAGGAAGGUCCCCCACACUGGCACUGAGAUACGGGCCAGACUCCUACGGGAGGCAGCAGUAGGGAAUAUUGGGCAAUGGACGAGAGUCUGACCCAGCCAUGCCGCGUGCAGGAAGACGGCGUUCUGCGUUGUAAACUGCUUUUAUCUGGGAAGAAAAGGCCCAUGCGUGGGACAUUGCCGGUACCAGAUGAAUAAGCACCGGCUAACUCCGUGCCAGCAGCCGCGGUAAUACGGAGGGUGCAAGCGUUGUCCGGAUUUAUUGGGUUUAAAGGGUGCGUAGGCGGCUAUUUAAGCCAGCGGUGAAAGACAUCGGCUCAACCGAUGCAGUGCCAUUGAUACUGGAUAGCUUGAGUGUUGGAGGGGUACAUGGAAUUGAUGGUGUAGCGGUGAAAUGCAUAGAUACCAUCAGGAACACCGAUAGCGAAGGCAUUGUACUGGCCAACAACUGACGCUGAGGCACGAAAGCAUGGGGAGCGAACAGGAUUAGAUACCCUGGUAGUCCAUGCCGUAAACGAUGAUUACUCGCUGUUAUGCUGUACAGUGUAGCGGCCAAGCGAAAGCGUUAAGUAAUCCACCUGGGGGAGUAC
RNAcentral lists this ribosomal RNA (877 nucleotides) under uncultured bacterium. RNAcentral's name for it is "bacterial SSU rRNA". It matches the Rfam family "Bacterial small subunit ribosomal RNA", at positions 8 to 883 of the family's 1533-position model. The record is from RNAcentral.